AUGGCGACCGGCGCACGGGUGAGUAACACGUAUCCAACCUGCCGNUGACUCGGGGAUAGCCUUUCGAAAGAAAGAUUAAUACCCGAUGGCAUAGUUCUUCCGCAUGGUGGAACUAUUAAAGAAAUUUCGGUCAUCGAUGGGGAUGCGUUCCAUUAGGUUGUUGGCGGGGGUAACGGGCCCACCAAGCCUUCGAUGGAUAGGGGUUCUGAGAGGAAGGUCCCCCACAUUGGAACUGAGACACGGUCCAAACUCCUACGGGAGGCAGCCAUG
Molecule: ribosomal RNA, 270 nt
Filed under: uncultured bacterium
Lineage: Bacteria
Description: partial 16S ribosomal RNA
Rfam family: Bacterial small subunit ribosomal RNA
Source: RNAcentral